Molecule: small RNA, 83 nt
Filed under: Marmota monax (woodchuck)
Lineage: Eukaryota; Metazoa; Chordata; Mammalia; Rodentia; Sciuridae
Source: RNAcentral
GCUGGGUGUGGUGGUGCAUGCCUGUAAUCCCAGUGACUCAGGAGGCUGAGGCAGGAGGAUUGUGAGUUCAAAGCCAGCCUCAG